This 492-nucleotide ribosomal RNA is filed under the name uncultured bacterium. Its description in RNAcentral is "partial 16S ribosomal RNA". It matches the Rfam family "Bacterial small subunit ribosomal RNA", at positions 29 to 507 of the family's 1533-position model. The record is from RNAcentral.
AGUGAACGCUGGCGGCAGGCCUAAUACAUGCAAGUCGAACGGCAGCACAGUAAGAGCUUGCCCUUACGGGUGGCGAGGGGCGGACGGGUGAGGCAUACAUCGGAAUCUACUUUUUCGUGGGGGAUAACGGAGGGAAACUUACGCUAAUACCGCAUACGACCUACGGGUGAAUGCAGUGGUUCUUCGGACUUUGCCCGAUUGAAUGAGCCGAUGUCGGAUUAGCUUGUUGGCGGGGUAAAGGCCCACCAAGGCGACGCUCCGUUGCUGGUCUGAGAGGAUGGUCCGCCCCACUGGAACUGAGACACGGUCCAGGCUCCUACGGGAGGGCAGAGUGGGGAAUAUUGGACCAUGGGCGGAAGCCUGGUCCAACCAUCCCGCGUGGGGUGAGAAAGCCUUCCGGUUGUAAAGCCCUUUUGUUUGGAAAGAAAAGCAGCAGGUUGAAACCCCGCUGUUCUGACGGUACCCUAAGAAUAAGCACCGGCUAACUUCGUG